This 253-nucleotide ribosomal RNA is filed under the name uncultured bacterium. RNAcentral's name for it is "partial 16S ribosomal RNA". It matches the Rfam family "Bacterial small subunit ribosomal RNA", at positions 524 to 776 of the family's 1533-position model. The record is from RNAcentral.
UACGUAGGGUGCGAGCGUUGUCCGGAAUUAUUGGGCGUAAAGGGCUCGUAGGCGGUCUGUCGCGUCGGGAGUGAAAACUCAGGGCUUAACCCUGAGCCUGCUUCCGAUACGGGCAGGCUAGAGUUCGGUAGGGGAGACUGGAAUUCCUGGUGUAGCGGUGAAAUGCGCAGAUAUCAGGAGGAACACCGGUGGCGAAGGCGGUUCUCUGGGCCUUACCUGACGCUGAGGAGCGAAAGCGUGGGGAGCGAACAGG